GGGGCUACGUUCUGCCGCUAAUAGCUCCGUACAACGAGGCAAGGGUGUCGGUUUGUAACUUCCUGUUUGGACCGGACGCAAUCUGUGCACCUGAAGUGAAGACAUCUGCGGUGUGAAGCUGUUGGAGACAACUAUUAUAUGAAAGCAGACACAGAGGAUGGCUGAAGGUGCGAGGCGAAGGAGAAAGCUGAGGCCAUACAGUGUUCACUUCAACAGAAAGACCAGAAUGGGCUCAAGGGCAGGUUCAUCACUGAUCUUAAAGGUGACUCUGAAGAAGGACCGGUUACUAUUGGAUGAUCAGGACUGUGUUGAGAAGAUGUCACCUGUCAAAGAGCAUGUGUUGAAUGAGGAGCAG
Molecule: long non-coding RNA, 355 nt
Organism: Carassius auratus (goldfish)
Lineage: Eukaryota; Metazoa; Chordata; Actinopteri; Cypriniformes; Cyprinidae
Exons: 5
Source: RefSeq, a predicted model, not a curated record